GUGGGGAAUUUUGGACAAUGGGCGCAAGCCUGAUCCAGCAAUGCCGCGUGCAGGAAGAAGGCCUUCGGGUUGUAAACUGCUUUUGUACGGAACGAAACGGUCCUGGUUAAUACCCGGGGCUAAUGACGGUACCGUAAGAAUAAGCACCGGCUAACUACGUGCCAGCAGCCGCGGUAAUACGUAGGGUGCAAGCGUUAAUCGGAAUUACUGGGCGUAAAGCGUGCGCAGGCGGUGCUGUAAGACAGGCGUGAAAUCCCCGGGCUCAACCUGGGAAUUGCGCUUGUGACUGCAGUGCUGGAGUGCGGCAGAGGGGGAUGGAAUUCCGCGUGUAGCAGUGAAAUGCGUAGAUAUGCGGAGGAACACCGAUGGCGAAGGCAAUCCCCUGGACCUGUACUGACGCUCAUGCACGAAAGCGUGGGGAGCAAACAGGAUUAGAUACCCGUGUAGUCC
This 450-nucleotide ribosomal RNA is filed under the name uncultured bacterium. RNAcentral describes it as "partial 16S ribosomal RNA". It matches the Rfam family "Bacterial small subunit ribosomal RNA", at positions 354 to 796 of the family's 1533-position model. The record is from RNAcentral.